RNAcentral lists this ribosomal RNA (443 nucleotides) under uncultured bacterium. RNAcentral's name for it is "partial 16S ribosomal RNA". It matches the Rfam family "Bacterial small subunit ribosomal RNA", at positions 338 to 795 of the family's 1533-position model. The record is from RNAcentral.
CCUACGGGAGGCAGCAGUGGGGAAUAUUGGGCAAUGGGCGCAAGCCUGACCCAGCAACGCCGCGUGACGGAAGAAGGCUUUCGGGUUGUAAACUUCUUUUCUCAGGGACGAAGCAAGUGACGGUACCUGAGGAAUAAGCCACGGCUAACUACGUGCCAGCAGCCGCGGUAAUACGUAGGUGGCAAGCGUUCUCCGGAUUUACUGGGUGUAAAGGGCGUGUAGGCGGGACUGCAAGUCAGAUGUGAAAACCACGGGCUCAACCUGUGGCCUGCAUUUGAAACUGUAGUUCUUGAGUGCUGGAGAGGCAGACGGAAUUCCAAGUGUAGCGGUGAAAUGCGUAGAUAUUAGGAGGAACACCAGUGGCGAAGGCGGUCUGUUGGACAGCAACUGACGCUGAGGCGCGAAAGCGUGGGGAGCAAACAGGAUUAGAUACCCUGGUAGUC